AACGAACGCUGGCGGCAGGCUUAACACAUGCAAGUCGAACGGGUGCAGCAAUGCAUCAGUGGCGAACGGGUGAGUAACACGUGGGUGACCUGCCCUCAGCUCUGGGAUAAGCCUGGGAAACCGGGUCUAAUACUGGAUAUGACUCCAUGACGCAUGUUGUGGGGUGGAAAGCCUUGUGCGGCUGAGGAUGGGCCCGCGGCCUAUCAGCUUGUUGGGGGGUGAUGGCCUACCAAGGCGACGACGGGUAGCCGGCCUGAGAGGGCGACCGGCCACACUGGGACUGAGACACGGCCCAGACUCCUACGGGAGGCAGCAGUGGGAAUCUUGCGCAAUGGGCGAAAGCCUGACGCAGCGACGCCGCGUGAGGAUGACGGCUGGU
Molecule: ribosomal RNA, 379 nt
Filed under: uncultured bacterium
Lineage: Bacteria
Description: bacterial SSU rRNA
Rfam family: Bacterial small subunit ribosomal RNA
Source: RNAcentral